RNAcentral lists this transfer RNA (88 nucleotides) under Nitrincola lacisaponensis. RNAcentral describes it as "tRNA-Ser". It matches the Rfam family "tRNA". Rfam says of the family: Transfer RNA (tRNA) molecules are approximately 80 nucleotides in length. Their secondary structure includes four short double-helical elements and three loops (D, anti-codon, and T loops). Further hydrogen bonds mediate the characteristic L-shaped molecular structure. tRNAs have two regions of fundamental functional importance: the anti-codon, which is responsible for specific mRNA codon recognition, and the 3' end, to which the tRNAs corresponding amino acid is attached (by aminoacyl-tRNA synthetases). tRNAs cope with the degeneracy of the genetic code in two manners: having more than one tRNA (with a specific anti-codon) for a particular amino acid; and 'wobble' base-pairing, i.e. permitting non-standard base-pairing at the 3rd anti-codon position. RNAcentral also lists the same sequence under 2 other names. The record is from RNAcentral. Lineage: Bacteria; Pseudomonadati; Pseudomonadota; Gammaproteobacteria; Oceanospirillales; Oceanospirillaceae.
GGUCAGGUGUCCGAGUGGUCGAAGGAGCACGCCUGGAAAGUGUGUAUACGGCAACGUAUCGAGGGUUCGAAUCCCUCCCUGACCGCCA